CACAGUUAUUUAUCAUUUUCUAUUAAUUCAGUUGUAGCCACUACAAUAUCUAUGACACUGGUAGUAAUUAUAAGAACAAUAAUGAUGUUCUAUAAGAGGAAAUGAUGAUUAGGAACAAAAACUUACAGGAGAUAUCAUGCGGUGGAUGGAUAAUAUUUAAAAAAUAUUAAGCAGUAUAUGAAUUUUCAUAUUGCGUAGAGAUAACAAAAUGAAUUUUAAAAAAUGUCGACACGGUAAUAAGAAAUAGCA
Bombus huntii is the source of this 249-nucleotide long non-coding RNA. RefSeq lists it as uncharacterized. The record is from RefSeq and is a predicted model, not a curated record. Lineage: Eukaryota; Metazoa; Arthropoda; Insecta; Hymenoptera; Apidae. The transcript has 2 exons.